Non-coding RNA from Fukomys damarensis (Damara mole-rat), 103 nucleotides. Lineage: Eukaryota; Metazoa; Chordata; Mammalia; Rodentia; Bathyergidae. The record is from Rfam.
AUCCUUCGGUUCAUGAGCAUGAUGAUUGGGUGUUCAUGCUGUAUGCAUGAGACGUGCCUCCCUCAAAUCUUGUUACCAUGGUCAGCACAUUACCAUUCUGAUC